This 402-nucleotide ribosomal RNA is filed under the name Bacteroidota bacterium. Its description in RNAcentral is "Bacteroidetes bacterium partial 16S ribosomal RNA". It matches the Rfam family "Bacterial small subunit ribosomal RNA", at positions 355 to 776 of the family's 1533-position model. The record is from RNAcentral. Lineage: Bacteria; Pseudomonadati; Bacteroidota.
UGGGGAAUUUUGCACAAUGGGGGAAACCCUGAUGCAGCGACGCCGCGUGAUUUAGAAGGCCUUCGGGUUGUAAAAAUCUUUUGUAUAGGAAGAAAAUGACAGUACUAUACGAAUAAGGACCGGCUAAUUACGUGCCAGCAGCCGCGGUAAUACGUAAGGUCCGAGCGUUGUCCGGAAUCAUUGGGCGUAAAGGGUACGUAGGCGGGUAAGCAAGUUAGAAGUGAAAUCCUAUAGCUCAACUAUAGUAAGCUUUUAAAACUGCUCAUCUUGAGGUAUGGAAGGGAAAGUGGAAUUCCUAGUGUAGCGGUGAAAUGCGUAGAUAUAUGGAGGAACACCAGUGGCGAAGGCGACUCUCUGGUCUGUAACUGACGCUGAGGCUCGAAAGCGUGGGUAGCAAACAGG